CCUACGGGAGGCAGCAGUGGGGAAUUUUGGACAAUGGGCGAAAGCCUGAUCCAGCCAUUCCGCGUGCAGGAUGAAGGCCCUCGGGUUGUAAACUGCUUUUGUACAGAACGAAAAGGUUUCUACUAAUACUAGGAGCUCAUGACGGUACUGUAAGAAUAAGCACCGGCUAACUACGUGCCAGCAGCCGCGGUAAUACGUAGGGUGCAAGCGUUAAUCGGAAUUACUGGGCGUAAAGCGUGCGCAGGCGGUUAUAUAAGUCAGAUGUGAAAUCCCCGGGCUCAACCUGGGAACUGCAUUUGAGACUGUAUAGCUAGAGUACGGUAGAGGGGGAUGGAAUUCCGCGUGUAGCAGUGAAAUGCGUAGAUAUGCGGAGGAACACCGAUGGCGAAGGCAAUCCCCUGGACCUGUACUGACGCUCAUGCACGAAAGCGUGGGGAGCAAACAGGAUUAGAUACCCUGGUAGUCCACGCCCUAAACGAUGUCAACUGGUUGUUGGGUCUUAACUGACUCAGUAACGAAGCUAACGCGUGAAGUUGACCGCCUGGGGAGUAACGGCCGCAAGGUUGAAACUUCAAAGGAAUUGACGGNUGAGAGNGCGAGAGACACGAGGAGGAGG
RNAcentral lists this ribosomal RNA (616 nucleotides) under uncultured bacterium. RNAcentral describes it as "bacterial SSU rRNA". It matches the Rfam family "Bacterial small subunit ribosomal RNA", at positions 338 to 944 of the family's 1533-position model. The record is from RNAcentral.